Molecule: transfer RNA, 71 nt
Filed under: Actinomycetes bacterium
Lineage: Bacteria; Bacillati; Actinomycetota; Actinomycetes
Also listed under: 3 other names
Description: Actinobacteria bacterium tRNA-Gly
Rfam family: tRNA
About the family: Transfer RNA (tRNA) molecules are approximately 80 nucleotides in length. Their secondary structure includes four short double-helical elements and three loops (D, anti-codon, and T loops).
Source: RNAcentral
GCGGCGGUAGCUCAACGGUAGAGCCUUGCCCUUCCAAGGCAAUGACGCGGGUUCGAUUCCCGUCCGCCGCU